AUGGAGACAGACUGCCUGGAGAUUGUUAAUCUCUGAAAAAAUCGCCAUAACAGUUUUUCUGUGAUGGCGCUAGUACUUCUAGAAAUUGGAGAGCUAACUGUGUCUUUUUCUUAUUUUGAUAUUCAACAUGUAAACAGAGCAGCCAAUGUAUCAACCCAUCUUUGCACAAAACAUGAUUGCACGCUGAUGGUCACCGAGAGUUGGACUGACUCCGGACCUUCCUUCCUACUCACCAGCUUGUUGGCUGAUGAUGCCAGGAGUUCUUUCGUUGAAUAA
This 276-nucleotide ribosomal RNA is filed under the name Triticum aestivum (bread wheat). RNAcentral describes it as "partial small subunit ribosomal RNA". Lineage: Eukaryota; Viridiplantae; Streptophyta; Magnoliopsida; Poales; Poaceae. The record is from RNAcentral.